UACGAAGGGGGCUAGCGUUGCUCGGAAUCACUGGGCGUAAAGCGCACGUAGGCGGAUCGCUAAGUCAGGGGUGAAAUCCUGGAGCUCAACUCCAGAACUGCCUUUGAUACUGGCAAUCUCGAGUCCGGGAGAGGUGAGUGGAACUGCGAGUGUAGAGGUGAAAUUCGUAGAUAUUCGCAAGAACACCGGUGGCGAAGGCGGCAUUCUGGACCAAUAUUGACGCUGAGGAGCGAAAGCCAGGGGAGCAAACGGG
This 253-nucleotide ribosomal RNA is filed under the name uncultured bacterium. RNAcentral describes it as "partial 16S ribosomal RNA". It matches the Rfam family "Bacterial small subunit ribosomal RNA", at positions 524 to 776 of the family's 1533-position model. The record is from RNAcentral.